RNAcentral lists this ribosomal RNA (372 nucleotides) under uncultured bacterium. Its description in RNAcentral is "bacterial SSU rRNA". It matches the Rfam family "Bacterial small subunit ribosomal RNA", at positions 527 to 896 of the family's 1533-position model. The record is from RNAcentral.
GAGGSGUGCAAGCGUUAUUCGGAAUUAUUGGGCGUACAGGGUGUGUAGACGGCAUGUUAAGUCAACUGUUUAAUUCUCCGGCCUAACCGGAGGUCAGCAGUAGAAACUGGCGUGCUAGAGGAUGGAAGAGAGAAGUGGAAUUCUCGGAGUAGCGGUAAAAUGCGUAGAUCUCGAGAGGAACACCAAUGGCGAAAGCAGCUUCUUGGUCCAUAUCUGACGUUGAGACACGAAAGCGUGGGGAGCAAACAGGAUUAGAUACCCUGGUAGUCCACGCUGUAAACGAUGAUCACUAGACGUUAGCUCUGUUCUACAGGGCUAGUGUCGCAGCUAACGCGUUAAGUGAUCCGCCUGGGAACUACGGUCGCAAGACUA